CUGGUGACUCUCCGAAGCAGUCCUGCAGGGAUCCGGGAUCUUCCGCUAUCUGGCUGUGCCAUUUCGGAAUCGAAAAAUCACACGGGCCCACCCAGAUGCAAGAAAGGCUGGGAGAUGUCAUCAUGUGUGCUUGGGAGGCAAAUGAAAGUCUGAUGACUUUGGAGCAUGGUUUCCACCAAAAUUAUCAUUUCCUCAGCACGGGUCGGCAGGUGUUCUGCUCUGGGCGGAUCUUGCAGCCACUGUCAUGAAUGUUACCAGCCCCUGUGGCAGAGGAAAGAGAGGAAGCUGUGGGAAGAACUUUCAUGGGAAGUUAAGCGCUCCAGCAUGGAAAUCACACCCACUUCGUCUUGGGUUAACUGGCAAGAACUAGCUACCUGGUCCCUCCCCAAAGACAAAGGAUCAGAAAAGGCAACCUGAGAUGUCCAAGAGCUGGAAAUACAGGGUAAAAAGCCCUUAAGACUACUCACUACACCUUCUCCUCCUCCUCCUCCCAGGAUUCUCUCUUCUCUUUUGAUCCCUCUGGUCUCUUCAUGGGGUCCCCUUCCAUGAAGGAGGCUCAGGGUCAGGUUUUUCAGGUUUUAGGUACGCAUCUUACUUCGGACCUUCAGCACUAAUGGAAGAGGAUGUUGUUGGUUUUCCAGAGUAAAGCAUCUCCAAUUUAGCUACGUCUUUCUUUUGCUCUUUUUGAUGGCUUCUCCUAGCAUGCCUUUGGUAAAUUGUUUUGCUGGGAAAGUCUUCCCACGUAAGGCAUCUGACGUUGUGGAACAGAGACAGGCCAUUUUUGCUGUGCUAUGGCCAAACUGCUGCCCAUAUAAUCUAUUUCACUAAAGACUUCCAGGAGCCAGUGGAGAGAGGCAAAGAGAAGUGGGUGAGGGAUUAAAAAAAAGUCUUAAUGCAUUUGUAAUG
Long non-coding RNA from Camelus dromedarius (Arabian camel), 906 nucleotides. RefSeq lists it as uncharacterized. The record is from RefSeq and is a predicted model, not a curated record. NCBI's taxonomy places the organism in Eukaryota, Metazoa, Chordata, Mammalia, Artiodactyla, Camelidae. The transcript has 3 exons.